This is a non-coding RNA of Pelobates cultripes (western spadefoot toad), 537 nucleotides long. The record is from the annotation of a GenBank genome assembly. NCBI's taxonomy places the organism in Eukaryota, Metazoa, Chordata, Amphibia, Anura, Pelobatidae.
CAGUAGUCUAGCACAUUCAAUUGCAACAUUGUUGCACAGUUACAUUAAACCAUACAUUUAUAAAAACAUUAGCAGGUGUUCAAAAGGCCCUGUCUAUGACAUCACUUGCUGCUGCAGCUUGACACAGGUCAGAAUAUUUUGGUGGUUGCAAUCUUCAAACGGUCGUAUCUUAAAAACUAUAACUCCUACAGUGAAGAGCUUUAUAUUGUGAGAAUCACAAGACCCAGACCUACGUUUUGAUGCAUAGUAUGUCUCUGAAGUAUUAAAAUUGAAGGCACAGUCGCAGUUUAGAAAUUGCACUUCAAAUUUGAGCUUUGCAGAGUGAAGUUUCAAUGAAAGUCAAUGGACGGCGUUAGUUGCAAACAAAUGGUCAUAUUGUGAAAACUAUCAGGACUACGGCUUAGCCGUUGACAUGUUUAGUGGCAGCAGGGAUAGCUGAACGUUUUGAUAUAAGAUUUGUGUAGGUGGGCCUGAAAAUAAGGGAGUGGUGGCAGUUUAGAAAUCAUGUCCUGAUUUUUCAGCUUUUGCCAGCUCCCA